RNAcentral lists this ribosomal RNA (468 nucleotides) under uncultured bacterium. Its description in RNAcentral is "partial 16S ribosomal RNA". It matches the Rfam family "Bacterial small subunit ribosomal RNA", at positions 28 to 507 of the family's 1533-position model. The record is from RNAcentral.
GACGAACGCUGGCGGCGUGCUUAACACAUGCAAGUCGAACGGAAAGGCCCUGCUUUUGUGGGGUGCUCGAGUGGCGAACGGGUGUGUAACACGUGAGUAACCUGCCCUUGACUUUGGGAUAACUUCAGGAAACUGGGGCUAAUACCGGAUAGGAGCUCCUGCUGCAUGGUGGGGGUUGGAAAGUUUCGGCGGUUGGGGAUGGACUCGCGGCUUAUGAGCUUGUUGGUGGGGUAGUGGCUUACCAAGGCUUUGACGGGUAGCCGGCCUGAGAGGGUGACCGGCGACAUUGGGACUGAGAUACGGCCCAGACUCCUACGGGAGGCAGCAGUGGGGAAUAUUGCACAAUGGGCGGAAGCCUGAUGCAGCGACGCCGCGUGCGGGAUGACGGCCUUCGGGUUGUAAACCGCUUUCGCCUGUGACGAAGCGUGAGUGACGGUAAUGGGUAAAGAAGCACCGGCUAACUACGUG